RNAcentral lists this ribosomal RNA (115 nucleotides) under Oryzias latipes (Japanese medaka). Lineage: Eukaryota; Metazoa; Chordata; Actinopteri; Beloniformes; Adrianichthyidae. The record is from RNAcentral.
UAUUGUGGCCAUACUACUCUGAACACGCCUGAUCUCGUCGGAUCUCGGAACCUAAGCAGGGUCGUUCCUAGUUAGUACCGGUACUUGGAUGGGAGAAUACCAGGUACUGCAAAAA